CAGUCGCCACGGUAAUACGUAGGGUGCAAGCGUUAAUCGGAAUUACUGGGCGUAAAGCGUGCGCAGGCGGUUUGUUAAGACAGAUGUGAAAUCCCCGGGCUCAACCUGGGAACUGCAUUUGUGACUGGCAGGCUAGAGUAUGGCAGAGGGGGGUGGAAUUCCGCGUGUAGCAGUGAAAUGCGUAGAUAUGCGGAGGAACACCGAUGGCGAAGGCAGCCCCCUGGGCCAGUACUGACGCUCAUGCACGAAAGCGUGGGGAGCAAACAGGAUUAGAUACCCCCGUAGUCCCUGUCUCUUAUAC
This 301-nucleotide ribosomal RNA is filed under the name uncultured bacterium. Its description in RNAcentral is "partial 16S ribosomal RNA". It matches the Rfam family "Bacterial small subunit ribosomal RNA", at positions 509 to 807 of the family's 1533-position model. The record is from RNAcentral.